Molecule: transfer RNA, 71 nt
Filed under: Ictidomys tridecemlineatus (thirteen-lined ground squirrel)
Lineage: Eukaryota; Metazoa; Chordata; Mammalia; Rodentia; Sciuridae
Description: Spermophilus tridecemlineatus (thirteen-lined ground squirrel) tRNA
Rfam family: tRNA
About the family: Transfer RNA (tRNA) molecules are approximately 80 nucleotides in length. Their secondary structure includes four short double-helical elements and three loops (D, anti-codon, and T loops).
Source: Rfam by way of RNAcentral
GGGGAUCUAGCUCAGCUGGUAGAGUGCUUGCCUUGCAUGCAUCAAAGGCCUGGGUUCAAUCCCCAGCACCA